GAUGAACGCUAGCGGCAGGCCUAAUACAUGCAAGUCGAACGGUAACAUGAGAGCUUGCUCUUGAUGACGAGUGGCGCACGGGUGCGUAACGCGUAUGCAACCUACCUACAACAGGGAGAUAGCCCGGAGAAAUUCGGAUUAAUACCCCAUAGUAUUAUUUGAUGGCAUCUGAGAAUAAUUAAAGAUUUAUCGGUUGUAGAUGGGCAUGCGUAAGAUUAGCUAGAUGGUGAGGUAAUGGCUCACCAUGGCGAUGAUCUUUAGGGGGUCUGAGAGGAUGAUCCCCCACACUGGUACUGAGAUACGGACCAGACUCCUACGGGAGGCAGCAGUAGGGAAUAUUGGUCAAUGGAGGCAACUCGUGAACCAGCCAUGCCGCGUGAAGGAAGAAGGCGUUCUGCGUUGUAAACUUCUUUUAUACAGGAAGAAUAUGUCCCUUGCGAGGGAUAGUGACGGUACUGUAUGAAUAAGCACCGCUAAC
Molecule: ribosomal RNA, 478 nt
Filed under: uncultured bacterium
Lineage: Bacteria
Description: bacterial SSU rRNA
Rfam family: Bacterial small subunit ribosomal RNA
Source: RNAcentral